GACGAACGCUGGCGGCGUGCUUAACACAUGCAAGUCGAACGGUAAGGCCCUUCGGGGUACACGAGUAGCGAACGGGUGAGUAACACGUGGGUGAUCUGCCCUGCACUUCGGGAUAAGCCUGGGAAACUGGGUCUAAUACCGGAUAGGACUCCGGACUGCAUGGUCUGGGGUGGAAAGCUUUUGCGGUGUGGGAUGGGCCCGCGGCCUGUCAGCUUGUUGGUGGGGUGAUGGCCUACCAAGGCGACGACGGGUAGCCGGCCUGAGAGGGUGACCGGCCACACUGGGACUGAGAUACGGCCCAGACUCCUACGGGAGGCAGCAGUGGGGAAUAUUGCACAAUGGGCGCAAGCCUGAUGCAGCGACGCCGCGUGAGGGAUGACGGCCUUCGGGUUGUAAACCUCUUUCAGCAUCGACGAAGCGAAAGUGACGGUAGGUGCAGAAGAAGGUCCGGCCAACUACGUGCCAGCAGCCGCAGUAA
RNAcentral lists this ribosomal RNA (478 nucleotides) under uncultured bacterium. Its description in RNAcentral is "partial 16S ribosomal RNA". It matches the Rfam family "Bacterial small subunit ribosomal RNA", at positions 28 to 523 of the family's 1533-position model. The record is from RNAcentral.